AGUGAACGCUGGCGGUAGGCCUAACACAUGCAAGUCGAACGGCAGCACAGUAAGAGCUUGCUCUUACGGGUGGCGAGUGGCGGACGGGUGAGGAAUACAUCGGAAUCUACUUUUUCGUGGGGGAUAACGUAGGGAAACUUACGCUAAUACCGCAUACGACCUACGGGUGAAAGCAGGGGAUCUUCGGACCUUGCGCGAUUGAAUGAGCCGAUGUCGGAUUAGCUAGUUGGCGGGGUAAAGGCCCACCAAGGCGACGAUCCGUAGCUGGUCUGAGAGGAUGAUCAGCCAGACUGGAACUGAGACACGGUCCAGACUCCUACGGGAGGCAGCAGUGGGGAAUAUUGGACAAUGGGCGAAAGCCUGAUCCAGCCAUACCGCGUGGGUGAAGAAGGCCUUCGGGUUGUAAAGCCCUUUUGUUGGGAAAGAAAAGCAGCAGGUUAAUACCCCGCUGUUCUGACGGUACCCAAAGAAUAAGCACCGGCUAACUUCGUG
This 492-nucleotide ribosomal RNA is filed under the name uncultured bacterium. RNAcentral describes it as "partial 16S ribosomal RNA". It matches the Rfam family "Bacterial small subunit ribosomal RNA", at positions 29 to 507 of the family's 1533-position model. The record is from RNAcentral.